This 67-nucleotide transfer RNA is filed under the name Ichthyotettix mexicanus. RNAcentral describes it as "tRNA-Leu". Lineage: Eukaryota; Metazoa; Arthropoda; Insecta; Orthoptera; Pyrgomorphidae. The record is from RNAcentral.
ACUAUUUUGGCAGAAAUAAUGCGUUGAAUUUAGAUUUCAUUUAUGUAGAUUGAUUUUAUAAAUAGUA